GACAAUCAAUUCAUUUAAUUGCAAUUGUUUUGUUUUAAUUACAAUUAAAUGAUUUAAUUUGUCGACUUGAGAUUAAAUUUUGGAGUGAUUAAGUCCCUAUUGUGUUUGAUAUUUGUUAAAAUAAAUUGAUUUGAUCAAUAAGUCACCAAAGUGACCUCUAUUGCUUGAAUUGAUUUAUUUUAGAAUAUUAGACAGGUGUAUUAGAAUUCGUUGCGGAUAGUUAAUCGGCCCAAAGGAAGGUUGCUAUUUGGCUGAGUUUUGAAUACAUGUUUGGCAAUAAAUAUGUGAUAAUUGUUUGAUUAUUUUCCAUGACAAUGAUAUAUCGGCCCAAAGGAAGAUUUAUUAUUUGUCAGGACUAUGUUAUCAAUAUUUGAUUGCUGCAUUGAGAUACUAAU
RNAcentral lists this long non-coding RNA (395 nucleotides) under Jatropha curcas. RNAcentral describes it as "long non-coding RNA (JCUR_LNC001550)". Lineage: Eukaryota; Viridiplantae; Streptophyta; Magnoliopsida; Malpighiales; Euphorbiaceae. The record is from RNAcentral.